Molecule: RNA transcript, 1276 nt
Organism: Mandrillus leucophaeus (drill)
Lineage: Eukaryota; Metazoa; Chordata; Mammalia; Primates; Cercopithecidae
Exons: 1
Source: RefSeq, a predicted model, not a curated record
CAGGCCACCAUGCAGGCCUAUAAUCUACUCAUACACCCAGCUUUCUCCGUAAUGGCUUUAUUCUUUUCCUCCAAGGUUCAAAAUCACCAUGACUUCUCCCCCGCGGGGGGCAGUGGAGGGGGGAACUGACUCUGAAUCAUAAAUCCUGACUCCCAAAUAUUGGCCAUAAUUGGGAAGGUGAGAGGUAUCUCAUAUGUCUGGGUGGAAGAGUCUCCUUUCUCCCUGGUGAUUCAUUUUCAGAACACAUGGCCAUCUUUCCAAUGGCUUUGAGUUUCACAUCACCACUGGAAAGACCUGCCAGUUUCUUCCUGUAUGCCUGUCCACUGCCAUGCUACUCACAGGAUGGUGGCUUAUGGGCACUCACUCACCCUUCAACAUGACUUGUUCACUCCAGUUCUCCCUUUCCAAAUGUUCUCAAUCCCCUGGUCCAUGCCCCAAGGGGGAUUCGGCUUUGCCCACCAGCUAUGUUCUGAAUAUUUGUGUCUUCCCCAAAUUAAUAUGUUGAAACUUAAUCACAAAUGUGAUGGUGUAAGAAGGUGGGGACUUUGGGACUUUAUUAGGUCAUGGAGGGGGAACCUCAUAAAAGAGGCUGCCUUGCCCCCUCCAUCAUGUGAAGCACCAUCUGUGAACCAGGAAAUGGGCUCUCACCAGACACUGAUCCUGCUGGUUCCUUGAUCUCAGACUUUUCGGUAUCCGGAACUGUGGGAUACACAUUGCUGUUGUUUAUGAGCCACCCAGUUUAAGGUGUUUUGUUACAGCAGCCCAAAGGGACUAGGCCACCACCAUAGUCAGGGAAGAGCUGGCUGAUUUGUGCGUGUCUGUGCUGUGUCCCAAUGAAAGCACAAUAAUCAAUGAACAUUGAUUCUGCAAUCGAUGUUUGAAGGUCAAAGGAGUUGGGAAAGGGGGUCUCCUGAAGCCAAAGAAAAGCAUUGUACUCCCCAAAACUGUGCCAGCCAGGUUUACCUUUCACAAGAUGCUACAGAUUGAGAUGCGUUGGUUUUACUUCUGGCUCUUUAAGCCCCACUCAAGCUCUAAUUUUGAUAUCUCCUUCAAGACACCUUAGUUUGGGCCCCUCCCAGGCUCCCUUCUGUUUUUGUUCUUUUUUUCUAACAUCAUCCUUGGCUUUUCUUCUCUUUUAGGUUUGACCUCCUGUCUCUUGGGUUGAGAAACCGUCCGCUCUGACUCCUGGCCUACUGUGACCCCUCCAAAGCCCUCUGUACAGGUCUUUGGUCACACAGAGACUCAACAAUCUAAUAAUCUAAAAUUGUAAAUGCCA